This 253-nucleotide ribosomal RNA is filed under the name uncultured bacterium. RNAcentral's name for it is "partial 16S ribosomal RNA". It matches the Rfam family "Bacterial small subunit ribosomal RNA", at positions 524 to 776 of the family's 1533-position model. The record is from RNAcentral.
GGCGGAGGAUGCAAGCGUUAUCCGGAAUUAUUGGGCGUAAAGCGUCCGCAGGUGGCUGUUCAAGUCUGCUGUCAAAGCGCAGAGCUUAACUCUGUACAGGCGGUGGAAACUGAAGAGCUAGAGUAUGGUAGGGGUAGAGGGAAUUCCCGGUGUAGCGGUGAAAUGCGUAGAUAUCGGGAAGAACACCAGUGGCGAAAGCGCUCUACUGGGCCAUAACUGACACUGAGGGACGAAAGCUAGGGGAGCGAAAGGG